CGGCGAUGCUCCAAACCCCCCAUAUUCACACUAUACAACCCUAAGCCUUUCCCCAACACCAUUCCACUAUCUAUCCCCCAAAACACCAACCAAUUCCAUCAUUUUUAGAUCUUAAGUCUGACCCUAAAAAUCCUAAAUUAUCCAAGCAACCCCAAAAUCACACCCCAUAAUCUGCUAUCCCUCCUCAUCCCGUAUUCUAUUUUAGUUCCUCUCAAAACACCCUGAAACUCUUCAAAUUUUAGAUCUAAAAAUGGUCUAAAAUGUUGGGUCUUUUCUACGAUAUCUCCAUUGAUAUUAGCAUGCCUUGAGUAUAAAACUGACAUUAGCUAAUGGCUUUUUGUCUUUACUAGAGUCUACUGGAUUCUUAAAGUAUUUCCUAC
RNAcentral lists this long non-coding RNA (380 nucleotides) under Nicotiana benthamiana. Its description in RNAcentral is "long non-coding RNA (NBEN_LNC037673)". Lineage: Eukaryota; Viridiplantae; Streptophyta; Magnoliopsida; Solanales; Solanaceae. The record is from RNAcentral.